Molecule: long non-coding RNA, 1566 nt
Organism: Oncorhynchus kisutch (coho salmon)
Lineage: Eukaryota; Metazoa; Chordata; Actinopteri; Salmoniformes; Salmonidae
Exons: 3
Source: RefSeq, a predicted model, not a curated record
CCAAAAAAGGUUUCUUCUAUGGGAACAGCCAAAGAACCCUUUGGAACCCUUUUUUCUAAGAGUUUAUAGUAAGGUGGCUGUCGUGAGAGAAACUGCCACUUUACUGAUAGAGAAGUCCUCUUGUAUAUUUCAGCUAACCAGUGUCCGCCCCUCCAUGUGGCCUAUUGUACACUCUUGGAAAAAGGGUUCAAAAACCAUUCUUCGGCUGUUCCCAUAGAAUAACUAUUUUCAGUUCCAACCCUUUCCACAGAGGGUUCUACAUUACCUGAAACCAAAAAGGGUUCCUCAAAGUGUUCUCCUAUUGGGACAGCCGAAGCACCCUUUAAGGUUCUAGAUAGCACCUUUUUUCUAAGAUUGUAGGUCUUACAGAAUUUCCUAAGGAUUACCAGAAACCAACUCCCUUCAUGUUGUCUUGCCUGGACAUGCUGUUCAAUUAAGGGAGAGCACAAAGCACCUCCUGGACUGAGGGCAAUCUGAAAAUAACACACUGUGCCUCUGCUUCUCUUGUCUCCAACAGAUUAGCUCAGAUGCUCCCAGCCACGGGGUCCUGUAUGGCUGCGCGCGAAAACAUCGCAGACACAGGUGGUGUCCUGUUCCCAAUCUCACUCAUCCUAAAACAGCUUUGCAGCUGCCAGCGAGGAAAAAAAAGAAAAGAAGGAGAAACAUCUGUUCGGAGAUUGCGUUUUUGUAAGACUGAUUAACGAGCAUAAGCCUCUGUUGCCAAUCCCCCACCUUGUCGGGCCAAGUAGUUUCCAAGCAUCGUCUGAUGCCUAAUGCAGGGCAGAAUUUACACAGAAAGAUAUAGAAAAUAAUUUAGGAAUAAGAGACCUUUCAUAAAUCCCUAAAUCUCCAUCAAUAUGCCAACAAAUUGGUGUUUUCUGAGGUGCACAUGUUUAAUUCAGUUGUAAAGACCACUUUACCUCCAGUCUAGAUAGCAAAAACAUGUAUUUGUUCUCUGUUGCCAGAGAAUAGCGCAAAUAAGGUUUCCCCCAAAUAUGUGAUGUUUGUCUUUUUACAUUGACACCCAGCACUGUAUUGCCAUACCAAAUUUUACACUCUGAAAGCUAGCCCAAUCAAACAAAUAGAACCAAUUAUUUACAUUUUAUAUGUUGGAGAAUGUGUUCGGAAAUUGCUAAACAGAAGAGAAAAAACAUAACAUAUGUAAACUCAUCCAAACGUCAACGUUAAUAAUGUUGUGUGUAAGUUUAAGCAGGGCAGAAGUGGAAGAAGUGGAAGAGGAGUGGAGAAGACGUAGAGUACACCCACCACCUCUCUCCCACACCAGGGAUUAUUGGCCGUGGUCCGUUGCCAAGAUCAUGUUAGUGCCUCGGGGUGGAACAAAGGUAAACAGAUUAUGGCUGCUGCAUCUGCACCAGUCACUGGAAUUGGCCUGUUUUCUAGCUAAUAGAUAACCGACUACAACCCCAUCAUUCACGGCUAUUGAUUCAAAGCAACCACAGGAGGGGUGCUUCACUUGAGUGGGUUGAGUCACUGUCGUGAUCUUCCUGUCUGGGUUGUGCCGUGGCGGAGAUCUUUGUGGGCUAUACUCGGCCUUGUCUCAGGAUG